Molecule: small RNA, 158 nt
Filed under: Marmota monax (woodchuck)
Lineage: Eukaryota; Metazoa; Chordata; Mammalia; Rodentia; Sciuridae
Source: RNAcentral
UCUGGGUGUGGUAGUGCACACCUGUAAUCCCAGCUGCUCGGGAGGCUGAGGCAGGGGGAUCCCAAGUUCAAGACCAGCCUGGGCAACGUAGAGAGACACGGGUCACAAAAAAAAUAAAAUAACAAGAGACGUAGCUUCGUCGGAGAGCCUGCCUUGGU